GGAAGAGUUAGAAGGGUAUUUCAAAUCACCCCAAAUAAAAAACAAUAGCAUUCCCUGCCCAUUCCAUUUUAUCCUGAAAAAACUCCCAAACAAUACCUUGGAUUUUCAGACUUCCCAAUCCACCGCGCCUUUGCCUUCUCCGAUUUUUCGUUGGAGGGGCAUCUGAUGGCUAACUCUCGAGGGCGUGAUUUCCUGUUCUGUCACUUGCGUGGUAUAAUGUUGACGGUCCCUUCUACAAAGUAUACACAGUGCUCGUUGUGCAAGACUAGGCGAGAUACUAAUGGUGAAGCCCUCUAAGCUCCUCUUCUGAUUGGUUUGCAUGCUGGAUUUGUAAGUAAGUUUCAAUACUUUUGAAAUUACUGGAGUGCCAGUAGGGUCAUUUCAGCGUCCUAAAUAUCCAUGUUUCCUUUCAAUCAUCAAAUCAUAUAACCAUGCUCUUUUUUUCCGUGAUUUCAAUCUAUCAAAAGUGCUGUCCUCUAGUUAAAUAUAGCUAAAUCUAAGCUGUUAUCAACCAGGCUAUCCGUUUGUGUUUGAAAUCACAAUCCACAAUAUUCUGUUGACAGAGCAUAUGCUUGGCAAUCGACGUGUCCCCCGCCCCCCGGUUUUUUGGAAAUCACAUGUUGCCUAAUAAAUGCCUUUUUAAUGUGAACUUUGUCACUAUGCUUCAGAACUGGAGGACUUCUUAUCUACUUAUUUUACUGAUAGGUUCUUGAUCAUUCUUUAUUGAGAGUGAUUUGGUGCUUAUGCCAUCGUGCGCUUAGAUUGAGUUUCGGUAAAACUUUGUUCUUGACCAUUUGAUGUUUUCGCCAGAUGUUUGCCAUGCUUUCACGUGGAUUGUAAGUCUAAUGCACAAGAAGAAGUUGGUUGCAAAUGGAGACAAAUUUACAGCACCAACUCGUGAAAUCCGUGUGCCGGUGUGAAGUGUGUAUGGGUCUGGGUGCCUGCACAUUUGGAAUAUUUAGCUAUAGAAUAUUUUUGAGCAUUAAUUGUAACUAUAACUCAAUUCACCUGAUCUCUAUACGCUAACUGAUUGCCCCUGUUUCCGGAUAUCAGCGGAAAAGAAAUGUGUUACACAAUUUCUGCUAAGGUAUGAUUUGUUGAUUUAAAUAAGCUGCAGAUCGUAUUUCUAUUCAUUGCAUUCGAAUACAUGUUUUCUUGCGACCAGCAUAUGGUUACAACGAAUGAAAUCAUAAUUCCACGAUGUGGACGCAGGUUGGGGAUUUGAUAUCAAUAUAACAAUCUUUGUGAUAUUUCAUAUUAUUAUGUGCCCUUGUGUUGGCAGGAUAUCAGAACGGAGCUUGAAAUUGUUAUAAUGGAAGAGCAGAAGGUGCAAUUCUCAAAGGUGAACAAGAAAUGUGAGAGAUGUGGUCAAGGGGAGGCUAACUUUUAUAGCAGACAGAUGCGAUCAGCAGAUGAAGGGCAUACUACCUUU
Molecule: RNA transcript, 1432 nt
Organism: Prosopis cineraria
Lineage: Eukaryota; Viridiplantae; Streptophyta; Magnoliopsida; Fabales; Fabaceae
Gene name: DNA-directed RNA polymerase I subunit RPA12-like
Exons: 5
Source: RefSeq, a predicted model, not a curated record